GCCGGGUGCAGCGGCCCACGCCUGUAAUCCCAGCGGCUCUAGAGGCUGAGGAAGGAGAAUCGCGAGUUCAAAGCCAGCCUCAGCAAUGGUGAGGCUCUAAGCAACUCAGUGAGACCCUGUCUCUA
Molecule: small RNA, 125 nt
Filed under: Marmota monax (woodchuck)
Lineage: Eukaryota; Metazoa; Chordata; Mammalia; Rodentia; Sciuridae
Source: RNAcentral